CAUAGUUGUGUUCGUCUUCUUUGCAUCUAUAU
RNAcentral lists this small RNA (32 nucleotides) under Arabidopsis thaliana (thale cress). RNAcentral describes it as "ATSL256940". Lineage: Eukaryota; Viridiplantae; Streptophyta; Magnoliopsida; Brassicales; Brassicaceae. The record is from RNAcentral.